Molecule: ribosomal RNA, 86 nt
Filed under: Clostridium perfringens
Lineage: Bacteria; Bacillati; Bacillota; Clostridia; Eubacteriales; Clostridiaceae
Source: RNAcentral
UUCCCAUUCCGAACACGACGGUUAAGCCUUUAGAAGCCGAUGGUACUGCACGGGAGACUGUGUGGGAGAGUAGGUGGUCGCCAGGU